RNAcentral lists this ribosomal RNA (764 nucleotides) under Pseudomonas sp. RNAcentral describes it as "bacterial SSU rRNA". It matches the Rfam family "Bacterial small subunit ribosomal RNA", at positions 23 to 780 of the family's 1533-position model. Lineage: Bacteria; Pseudomonadati; Pseudomonadota; Gammaproteobacteria; Pseudomonadales; Pseudomonadaceae. The record is from RNAcentral.
CUCAGAUUGAACGCUGGCGGCAGGCCUAACACAUGCAAGUCGAGCGGCAGCACGGGUACUUGUACCUGGUGGCGAGCGGCGGACGGGUGAGUAAUGCCUAGGAAUCUGCCUGGUAGUGGGGGAUAACGCUCGGAAACGGACGCUAAUACCGCAUACGUCCUACGGGAGAAAGCAGGGGACCUUCGGGCCUUGCGCUAUCAGAUGAGCCUAGGUCGGAUUAGCUAGUUGGUGAGGUAAUGGCUCACCAAGGCGACGAUCCGUAACUGGUCUGAGAGGAUGAUCAGUCACACUGGAACUGAGACACGGUCCAGACUCCUACGGGAGGCAGCAGUGGGGAAUAUUGGACAAUGGGCGAAAGCCUGAUCCAGCCAUGCCGCGUGUGUGAAGAAGGUCUUCGGAUUGUAAAGCACUUUAAGUUGGGAGGAAGGGCAUUUACCUAAUACGUAAGUGUUUUGACGUUACCGACAGAAUAAGCACCGGCUAACUCUGUGCCAGCAGCCGCGGUAAUACAGAGGGUGCAAGCGUUAAUCGGAAUUACUGGGCGUAAAGCGCGCGUAGGUGGUUUGUUAAGUUGGAUGUGAAAUCCCCGGGCUCAACCUGGGAACUGCAUUCAAAACUGACAAGCUAGAGUAUGGUAGAGGGUGGUGGAAUUUCCUGUGUAGCGGUGAAAUGCGUAGAUAUAGGAAGGAACACCAGUGGCGAAGGCGACCACCUGGACUGAUACUGACACUGAGGUGCGAAAGCGUGGGGAGCAAACAGGAUUA